UGGCUCGAAGAUCAUGCAACAAUCUC
Molecule: non-coding RNA, 26 nt
Filed under: Mus musculus (house mouse)
Lineage: Eukaryota; Metazoa; Chordata; Mammalia; Rodentia; Muridae
Source: RNAcentral